GGACUACACGGGUUUCUAAUCCCAUUCGCUCCCCUAGCUUUCGUCUCUCAGUGUCAGUUUCGGCCCAGCAGAGCGCUUUCGCCUUUGGUGUUCUUCCCGAUAUCUACGCAUUUCACCGCUACACCGGGAAUUCCCUCUGCCCCUACCGUACUCCAGCCACGCAGUUUCGACUGCUUGCUCAGGGUUCAGCCCUGAUCUUUAACAGCCGACUAGCGUAACCACCUACAGACGCUUUACGCCCAAUCAAUCCGGAUAACGCUUGCAUCCUCCGUAUUACCGCGGCGGCUGGCAC
This 292-nucleotide ribosomal RNA is filed under the name uncultured bacterium. RNAcentral's name for it is "partial 16S ribosomal RNA". The record is from RNAcentral.